Molecule: unclassified non-coding RNA, 369 nt
Filed under: uncultured bacterium
Lineage: Bacteria
Description: contains 16S-23S intergenic spacer region
Source: RNAcentral
UCCUACUUUCGUAGGCAGUCUGCUGUGAAAAAACAACACAGCACGAGGGUUGCGCUCGUUACCGGACUUAACCGUACAGCUCACGCCACGAGCUGACGACAACCAUGCAGCACCUGUUUAGCACCCUCGAAGGCGGCCUCCAUCUCUGGUGGCUUGCAGCUAAAUGUCAAGACUGGGUGAGGUUCCUCGCUUACCGUCGAAUUGAACCACAUGCUCCACCGCUUGUGCGGGUCCCCGUCAAUUCCUUUGAGUUUUAGUCUUGCGACCGUACUCCCCAGGCGGCACACUUAACGCGUUAGCUUGGUUAAGCGGCACUGAGAGGGUCGAUACUCCCAAUGCCUAGUGUGCAUCGUUUACGGCGUGGACUAC